Long non-coding RNA from Ipomoea nil (Japanese morning glory), 613 nucleotides. RefSeq lists it as uncharacterized. The transcript is spliced from 2 exons. The record is from RefSeq and is a predicted model, not a curated record. NCBI's taxonomy places the organism in Eukaryota, Viridiplantae, Streptophyta, Magnoliopsida, Solanales, Convolvulaceae.
UUAGGGUUAAAACGCAGAAUGUGUACAGGGAUGUCGACAUUGCACAUUCAACUGAGAGAAAAAUGAUUGCACAAACGAGGCGUGAAGACUAGUGGGCUACAACACAAUCGCAAGCUAUAUGGCCGACGGAGAAUCAAAAAUUCACCGGCGUACGUCUAUUGAAGCGACGAGUAGAAUCCCCAAGAAGUAGAAAUUCACUAACAAUCAGCAAGCUCAACCAAGUGGGCCGAAUCCCGAUGAUGAUUUUGAGUCCCCUCCAGUCCAAGUAGCAAGAACACAAGGGAACAAAACUAUUUCACGGCACGGCAGCAGAAUGGAUGAAAGGCAGCGCAGUUGGUUAUUGAGACAAUGAAAUGUGCGGAACGUUUGAUUUUUUGGACAUGUCUUUUUUUUUUUUUUUUUUUUUUUUUUAAAGUUUUGACCGUGGUGGUAUGAGAUAAUUGGUCUGUGUGUGGUGAUUAGUGAGCCACGUGACAUUGACAACCAACUUAUUUUUUUUGUUGUGUUUGAAUAUGCAUUUUGAAUAGAAUUUGAAGAAGCCACCGGACAGUGGCAUAUUGUUAAACACAUAAAUAUUAAUGGUAGGAAUGUAACUGCUCAGCUUUAGAUGGUA